UCCAGCAACAAUUUAAUUAAAUCAUGAACGCUCAGAAGGAUCUCUACCUACUUUUCGGGAUAGCAUCAGUAGACCUAUAAUGGCGAACUAUGUUCUUAACAACAGAGAUGUAUUAGUGAUGAAUAACGUGAGAAUGGGCGAGAGAGUAUGUUUGCGUGAGAGAUUAUGGACGAUUUAGUAUGAGAAAUUAAGAGAAAUCGUGUGAGAGUAUGAAAAAUAUUAUAAGAGCAUAGAGGUAGGUUGAGGGGGCGAAUGUAAGAGAGAAUAAAGAGAAUUCAGGUCUUAAACAUAGU
RNAcentral lists this long non-coding RNA (293 nucleotides) under Brassica napus (rape). Its description in RNAcentral is "long non-coding RNA (BNAP_LNC002692)". Lineage: Eukaryota; Viridiplantae; Streptophyta; Magnoliopsida; Brassicales; Brassicaceae. The record is from RNAcentral.